GGGCCGGUGGUCUAGCUCGGUUAGGAUGCUGCCCUUACGCGGCAGAGGUCGCCGGUUCGAAUCCGGUCCGGCCCACCA
This 78-nucleotide transfer RNA is filed under the name Candidatus Bathyarchaeota archaeon. RNAcentral describes it as "tRNA-Val". It matches the Rfam family "tRNA". From Rfam's summary of the family: Transfer RNA (tRNA) molecules are approximately 80 nucleotides in length. Their secondary structure includes four short double-helical elements and three loops (D, anti-codon, and T loops). Lineage: Archaea; Thermoproteati; Candidatus Bathyarchaeota. RNAcentral also lists the same sequence under 1 other name. The record is from RNAcentral.